AACGAACGCUGGCGGCGUGGAUAAGACAUGCAAGUCGUGCGAGAUUCCGGUGGUAGCAAUAUUGCCGGGAUUUAGCGGCGAAAGGGUGCGUAACACGUGGGUUAUUUGCCUGAGGGUUCAGUAUAACUUCGAGAAAUCGAAGCUAAUAAUGGAUGCUUGAGCAGCAAUGUUCAAAAAGCUGGGGACCGCAAGGCCCAGCGCCUUCAGAUAAGCCCGCGGCCUAUCAUGCUAGUUGGUGGGGUAACGGCCCACCAAGGCGACGACGGGUAGCUGGUCUGAGAGGACGACCAGCCACACUGGAACUGAGACACGGUCCAGACACCUACGGGUGGCAGCAGUCGAGAAUUUUUCACAAUGGGCGCAAGCCUGAUGGAGCGACGCCGCGUGGGGGAUGAAGGGCUUCGGCUCGUAAACCCCUGUCAUCUGCGAACAAUGCUGAAGCCGGAUAAUGGCUCCAGUUGAUAGUAGCGGAAGAGGAAGGGACGGCUAACUCUGUGCCAGCCGCCGCAGUAAUAC
This 516-nucleotide ribosomal RNA is filed under the name uncultured bacterium. RNAcentral's name for it is "bacterial SSU rRNA". It matches the Rfam family "Bacterial small subunit ribosomal RNA", at positions 29 to 526 of the family's 1533-position model. The record is from RNAcentral.